GACGAACGCUGGCGGCGUGCCUAAUACAUGCAAGUCGAACGCCUUUUCUUUCAACGUAGCUUGCUACACCGAAAGAAAGUGGGUGGCGAACGGGUGAGUAACACGUGGGUAACCUGCCCAUCAGCGGGGGAUAACACCUGGAAAUAGGUGCUAAUACCGCAUAAUUCUAUUUACCGCAUGGUAGCUGGAUGAAAGGCGCUUUUGCGUCACUGAUGGAUGGACCGCCGGUGCAUUAGCUAGGUGGUGGGGUACAGGCCUACCAAGGCGACGAUCCGUAGCCGGUCUGAGAGGAGGAUCAGCGACACUGGAACUGAGACACGGUACAGACUCCUACGGGAGGCAGCAGUGGGGAAUAUUGGACAAAGGGCGCAAGCCUGAUCCAGCCAUACCGCGUGGGUGAAGAAGGCCUUCGGGUUGUAAAGCCCUUUUGUUGGGAAAGAAAAGCAGCAGGUUAAUACCCCGCUGUUCUGACGGUACCCAAAGAAUAAGCACCGGCUAACUUCGUG
Molecule: ribosomal RNA, 506 nt
Filed under: uncultured bacterium
Lineage: Bacteria
Description: partial 16S ribosomal RNA
Rfam family: Bacterial small subunit ribosomal RNA
Source: RNAcentral